GGGUCGAUGAAGAACGCAGCCAGCUGCGUGAAGUAAUGUGAAUUGCAGGACACAUUGAACAUCGAUAUCUUGAACGCAUAUUGCGGCCUCGGGCAUUCUCGAGGCCACGCCUGUCUCAGGGUCGGUUGAAUGUAUCUAUCGAGAGUCGUCUCAAAUUUUACAAGCUCUCGCAGUGGAUCGUCGCGGCACGUCGUCGUCUACACAUCGACGAGCCACGUCGUCUCAAAUACAGACGGUUCGCACAACUGGCGAAUCCGCACGUCUCGAUCCGUUCAUCAUUGGUGGUGAGUACACAGCAGCGAGACGGUUGCUCGGAUGCACUUUGUUUCGAAAUGACUGUCGUCGGCUGCGUGCUCUGCUGCGAAGAAGAACGGAGUCUGCGGAUUUCAUCAUCGCUGCGUGCGUUCAUUGACGAAGCGGUAUCAUCAUAUCGUAUCUUCGACCUGAGAUCAGACGAGAUUACCCGCUGAAUUUAAGCAUAU
This 482-nucleotide unclassified non-coding RNA is filed under the name Chaetogaster diaphanus. Its description in RNAcentral is "sequence contains ITS2". The stretch from base 4 to 124 matches the Rfam family "5.8S ribosomal RNA", at positions 33 to 154 of the family's 154-position model. Lineage: Eukaryota; Metazoa; Annelida; Clitellata; Tubificida; Naididae. The record is from RNAcentral.